RNAcentral lists this ribosomal RNA (247 nucleotides) under uncultured bacterium. Its description in RNAcentral is "partial 16S ribosomal RNA". It matches the Rfam family "Bacterial small subunit ribosomal RNA", at positions 795 to 1052 of the family's 1533-position model. The record is from RNAcentral.
CCACGCCGUAAACGAUGAGUACUAAGUAUCUGGGAAUCUGGGUGCUAAAGUUAACGCAAUAAGUACUCCGCCUGAGUAGUACGUGCGCAAGCAUAAAACUCAAAGGAAUUGGCGGGACCUCGCACAAGCGGUGGAUCAUGUUGUUUAAUUCGAUGAUACGCGAUGAACCUUACCAGGCCUUGACAUACCAAGCAAUGCUAUAGAGAUAUAGUGGAGGUUAUCUUGGAUACAGGUGGUGCAUGGUUGU